Long non-coding RNA from Culex quinquefasciatus (southern house mosquito), 913 nucleotides. RefSeq lists it as uncharacterized. Lineage: Eukaryota; Metazoa; Arthropoda; Insecta; Diptera; Culicidae. The transcript has 3 exons. The record is from RefSeq and is a predicted model, not a curated record.
UAUUGUGUUAUUGUGGAACAAACGUGGUGCUUCCCAAUUAAAGUUCAAUUCUGAAAAUUUCAGGAUUUUGGACACUUUUUGACUUAUUUUCGAGAAAUUUUUGGUUAACUAAACGCAGAAAAAGCAUUGGCCAAAUGAAUUCAAUGCGAAGUUUAAUUUUCAAGUGUCGUUCCUGGGGUUUUUUGAUUUGUUCUUUUCUUGGGAAAGUUGAUUAUUAUGACUAUGAGGAAAAUAUUAUGCGGUUCAAGGUACUAAACACCUGACACCUUCACGACUGAUUCACCAACUAUAGCGCAAUACACGGUUUGAAGAACUUUUACAACCAUGUAUGCAGCUGGUUUACAGUACGUGCUCAGUUUUGAGAACUGGCUCACCAUCUCCACGAAUACCUGAGACCAGACUCGAUUUUUGCAAUCCUCGUUGCGUAAACUUCUAUCAAACAUCAACUUUUUUUGUUCCGGAACUUCAACAUUAACAACUUUUGCCAACUCUGGGCAUAAAAUUGGGUCCUGCCUGCUGCAGUUUUGACCCGGAGUCCUGGAUGCACUCAACUACGUUAGCAUGGAGCUGUAAUGUACAGUAUUGGACGACGUAGCACUCUAAAAUAAUUGUUUACAGAGGAAACUAUUAGGCCGAUAACAUCGCACCUUACUCCAACAACGCGCGCUCCUUCAACUUCUUUAACUCACCGUCAGGUAAGUCACCUUCCAAUUUCGUAACUACUUGUUACUAAAACCUCCUACUAAACUCCUACUAAACUCCUAGAUACUGGUUCAAAAUUUAUGCUGUCCAGAUUUCACUGUUUGUAACAAACUGUCCUGAUAACACUGAGAUUCUGACGAAAAAUAACUUAUUAACUUCAACAGACCUCACGAAUCAAACAAACGUACACAAACAGGAAACGGACCAAACA